RNAcentral lists this ribosomal RNA (470 nucleotides) under uncultured bacterium. RNAcentral describes it as "partial 16S ribosomal RNA". It matches the Rfam family "Bacterial small subunit ribosomal RNA", at positions 355 to 842 of the family's 1533-position model. The record is from RNAcentral.
UGGGGAAUAUUGGACAAUGGGGGCAACCCUGAUCCAGCAAUGCCGCGUGUGUGAAGAAGGUCUUCGGAUUGUAAAGCACUUUCGACGGGGACGAUGAUGACGGUACCCGUAGAAGAAGCCCCGGCUAACUUCGUGCCAGCAGCCGCGGUAAUACGAAGGGGGCUAGCGUUGCUCGGAAUGACUGGGCGUAAAGGGCGUGUAGGCGGUUUACACAGUCAGAUGUGAAAUCCCCGGGCUUAACCUGGGAGCUGCAUUUGAUACGUGUAGACUAGAGUGUGAGAGAGGGUUGUGGAAUUCCCAGUGUAGAGGUGAAAUUCGUAGAUAUUGGGAAGAACACCGGUGGCGAAGGCGGCAACCUGGCUCAUGACUGACGCUGAGGCGCGAAAGCGUGGGGAGCAAACAGGAUUAGAUACCCUGGUAGUCCACGCUGUAAACGAUGUGUGCUAGAUGUUGGGUAACUUUGUUAUUCA